CGUGGUCAAUGAAGUUGAUUGUUCACUGAGGAGUUUAUGGACAUCUAAGAGUAUAAAUAGAGAUGCUCCCACCAAAGAUAUACUCUCUCUACAUGUUUUAACCAAGCCAAAAAACAUCUUAGAGGUAGGGGAAUUGUUAAAUCUAACCAAUAAGUAACGAAAGUGAUUUAUAUAUAGAUUUAACAAUUUCUUUAUUGGCAAGGUAUGCGGAGAGGGUAUAUCUUUAGUGGGGAUAUCAAGAAUGAUGCUCUUGGAUGUCCAACUAAACUGAUGCGUGGUCAUGUGUUUGGACCAAACAAAAGGAAGAUAAUUCUUAUCUACAUUGGUAACAGGCGAUUCCCCUGAAGAGCAAUGUUAGUAAACAUUGAAUUUAAAUGUAAAAUGUUAGGAAACAAUUUGAAAAACAAACGCAUCAAACAUGCAAAACUCACCUGGAAGUGCCGUAUUAGAUGGGUCUUAGCCAAGUUCGAAGCGAAUCCAAAUUGGGCAAAAAAUUUCUGAAAUAAAAAACCAAAGCACAUGAGAUACUAACAAAAGUCAUCCAAAAAAACAUGGAAAAUCAAAACCUUGUGCGGCAACAAACAUGUAGACCGGAUUCAUAAUGGUUUCGUAAGGGGAGUUAGUAUGAUGAAACAUCAUUUGAUAAUUUAAAAAGUGAAAUAGUUUAAAACACUGAACGCUUGAAAAUAAAAAGGAAUUAAUCUAACUUGAAUAAACAGGAAUCAACUUUCACAGAUAGGAAAAUAUUGAGUUUUUACCUGCUAGUCUAGCCAUAGUAACGAAGACUACAGCUCUUAUUCAAAGAUCAAUUCUUUUUCCAAUAGAAAACUGUACGUUAAGACAAAUUUAUUCAAUUAGAAUGAAGCUAAUGAGAUUAAAGCCAAAAUUUAAAACUAAGGGUGAAAAUGGAUUUGACAGCCACAAAAAUUGAUGAUAGGAUAGGUUACUUGGUAAAGUAGAAGGAUUUUGAAAGCUGUAGACAAAAGCCAUAUAAAAUGGAGACCAACGUCUGUUGAAACAGAAAAGAGAAUUAAAUUACGUAUUUGAAUGAUAAAUCUAAUGAUAUAAACAAAAGAUCUAAAACUAUGUAAAACGUUAUGUAUCCAUUAAUAAAAUUAAGAAUUUUGUUGUAAAUUUUGUAGCACAUCUUUGAAAACUAUAUUUAGAGUAUGGUUGUUCACAUCAUUUUCUACAUAUGUGAUCAAAAUUUUUAAACCUUCUCUUGAUGUGACUCUAGACAAUGCAACAUAUAAUUGAUCAUGACUGAAAACAAGUUUGGGAAGAUAUAGUCCAACUUGUUUUAAAGAUUGUCCUUGACUUUUAUUAAUGGUCAUUGCAUAACAUGGCCUAACUGGAAAUUGAAGUCUUUUAAAAAUGAAAGACCACUUGUUUUCAGUUGCUGUAAGAGUGAUUCUUGGUAUGAAUACUUUGUGACCAACAUUAUUUCCAGUAAGUAUCUUAGCUUCAAUAAUUCUAGGAAAUAACUGUGUGACAAUUAAUCUAGUUCCAUUACAUAAACCAUAAGAUUGAUUUAAAUUUUGCAACAACAUAAUUGGCAUUCCUAUUUUUAAAAUUAAAUUAUGUGUAGGUAAACCAUUGAAAUCAAGCGUAUUUAAAAAUUCUGUAGGAUACAUUAUGUCAAGAUUCUCAACAUUUCCACUUGAGGAACACAAAGAAUCGUAGCUUAAAAAUGUAUGUUGUUCUCCAGGUAACAAAUUGGUUAUAUAAUUGUUUAUUUCUGUUACUGUUGUAUUCCGAGGUGUAACAAUAGCUCGUUCUCUUAAGUAAACAAAAUUGUGAAACAAAUUUUUAAAAUUAGGAUAAGUUGCUUCAAAAAUUGAAGAAAUUGGGUGACACACCCCGUCCCGAAGGAGGGCAUGCUGGCCGUCACGUGAGAGUGACGUAACCAUUUGCACAGUACGGAAGCUUUAAGAUACAAUUUAAAUUGAUACACCCGAAGGUGAGUCCUAAUUUUGUCCAAUCUGUCAGAACACCGUCGAAUUCCUCGUAGUCACCACACCUUUGUGAUUCCUGAACCUGGAGGGGCGCAAAACCAAAAUUGAGUGGGUCAGUAAAACAAUUCUUUUCCAAAUCCAAACAUUUCUCAAAACGUUGUAACCCCUCUCCGUAAAACCUGUAUACUUUCCCAGAAAUGUAAAAUAUAAUUAUACAUAUAUAUUCUCAAUACUUCAAUUCAUUACUCCACAUUUUUCAGUACAAAUAUGCCAUGCCAUAUCGGAAUUCAUCAGUUAAGUAUGAAUGCAUCAACAGUAAUUAUAUCAGGUGCAAGAAGUAAUCAACCGGAGGCCCUCUAAUAGCCCUGUACGGUUGAACCUAGAGCUCAAAAUCUAUCACUCUCACUCUGCCGGAGUCACCUCUGUGACCUGUACGGCCUUCUGCACACAAGUUACGCUCUAGUGCUUCUCUCAUCAAUCAUCUGUGCACAUAAUCUAAGGUCACCUACCAGUCGGAACCCCUCUAACGGUCUGUACGACUGGCAUGUCGGAACCACCCCCGGUGGUCUGUACGACUAGCAUCUACUUGGAUCCAAGGCGAGCGUGCGAUGCGGUGAAUACUAUAAGCACUAAACUAUGGUGCAGGAUUUGAGCUCAAUAUACAUCAUCAUCAUAACAGUAAUUAAAUAUUCAUCUGUGCGUCCACCGCACCAUUUCAUACAUAUGCACCAUAAAUCAAUUCUUACCUGUGCGUCCACCGCACCAAUUCAUACAUAUGCACCAUAAAUCAAUUCUUACAUGUGCGUCCACCGCACCAAUUCAUACAUAUGCAUCAUAAAUCAAUUCUUACCUGUGCGUCCACCGCACCAAUUCAUACAUAUGCAUCAUAAAUCAAUUCUUACAUGUGCGUCCACCGCACCAAUUCAUACAUAUGCAUCAUAAAUCAAUUCUUACCUGUGCGUCCACCGCACCAAUUCAUACAUAUGCAUCAUAUAUUAAUUCAUGCAUGGCAUUUCAACUCACAUUUCUAUAUACUUUUCAUAUCAAUUCUAUGCAUGGUAUUUCACUUCCCGUUUUUUCCACAUAACUCAUAUGCAUUUCAUUUUAAACAUAUUUUCAUUUCAAUUCAAUUUCUGGGAAACGUCAAGUAUAUAUAUAUAUAUAUACGGAAAACAAAACUGCCCACUCACCUGGAGUUCGUCCAACAACUCCCUAGCACCACACAUCAAGGCGUCAUGACGAUCGCCGCCUAGAAUAGUAAUCAAAUCCAGGCUCAGAAUUCAUAUCGAUAGAAUACAUAACUUAUAUAAAAAUACGUCACUACGUAGAUUGAUCCGGAAGAUCCACCCCUCAGAUUUUAAAUCCAUAACUUCUAGAGGUCCACAUUAUACCUCUAGGACAACAUCCUAAAAUUUCAUUACCAUCCAACGGUCGGAUCUCCGUCAAUUUCCAAAACUAAGUGACGGUUAACAUUUUAUAUUAUGGACUUACAAUUCCAAUUCCGGAAGAUCCGUAACUCGGAUUCCCAAUCCGUAAGUUCCAAUAGUCCUUAAAUAUUACGUAUUACAACGUAUCAAAGUUUGGUGACGAUCCAACGGUCGGAUCAUCAAUUCACAUUUUCACCAAAACUAUAAAACGUUAUUCGAACACCUAACCAACAAUCCUCAAUAACUUUCUCAUACGGUGUUCAAUUUAGGUAUAUGAAUAUACCACAGUGAUCUACUCGACGUCACGGACGUCGACAUAUUUUUAAAAUAUUUUUAUUUUUAUUUUUUAUUUUACUGUAGCACCAUCUUCUUCCUUGGGUCGCCGGACUGGUUUUUCCGGCGGCCGUUUUCCGGGCAGUUUUUCAAAUUGCCAUAACUUUGUCAUUUCUCAACGAAAUCAAGUGAUUCAAAAACGAAAGUUGUAGCCCUUGAAGAGACAAAGAGAAUGGUACCUUUCCCAACACCUAGUUCGCCGUAGUUUGGCCGGAAACUGCCUCGAAAGCCUCGGAGGUCGCCGGAAACUGGGUAUUUUUCAAAUGAGUAUAACUUCUUCAAUACUCAACGAAAUUGAGUGAAACAAAAGGGAAAGUUGUAGUACUUGACGAGACGAAGAGAUUGAUACCUACCUUGACUCCUAACUCGCCGGGGAUUCGCCGGAAAAUGCCUCGAAAGCUCCGGCCAAACUUUGAACUCGUCGAUCUCCGUGUUCUUUCGUCCAAAAACUUCCAACGAAGCACUCCGAGCUUCCUUGGGACCUCACUAAGCUCGCUGUGAUCUUGUUUUAGCCUAAAACGUAGUUAUUAAAAGAUGAUGAACAGUGCUCUUCCACGGGGAGUUUAGAAUCUAGGUUUUCCGAAGUAAAACUUACCUGAAAUUGGUGUCUACGUGAUCGUGGAGUCUCCAGGAGUUCGAUGGUGGUCUUAACUCCGUCGUUGGUGGAAGUUUAAGGUUGUUUUGUGGUUGGUUUGUUCGAACGGAGAAGAAGAGUGACAGAGAGAGAGAGAUUCGUGAGGGAGGAGAGAGAGAGACAGUAUGCAGAAAAUAGGGAGAGGAUUGAGGGAUGUGGGGAUCCCUCGUGGUCCUUUUCCAAUCCCCAACUCCAAACCACAAAAUUUUAACCUAAAAAUCUAAGUUCCAUCCUUAAUAAAUUCCAUUUUAUUUUCAAAACUUAGGAACCUAGAUAAUUAACAAUUUGAGCUUCACAUACUUAGUAUUUCUUAAGGGCAAUUUCGUCCAUUCACAGCCACGAAUGUAAUAUUUUGGAACGGGCUGUGACAAUCUUCCCUCCUUAUAGAAUUUCGUCCCCGAAAUUCCAGCAACCAACCAAUUCAUCAACACUUAUACCAACCUCGGUAAGUUUCUUUCAUCCGAUUCUUUUUCUCCCACGUAAUUUUCUUCCACUGAAUGAUUCCUUCACAAAACUUUUACCAUUUACUCUAUCUUAACUCUCAGGACCUUCUUUUUCCAAUCCAAAUUCUACUUUUCUAAGGUGAACACUUCUAAAAUAUAAAACCAUUUGCCUUACACACUCGAUUAGUGGCAUAUCCAUCUGUUGAUCUCUUUUGCCAUUCACAAGUCAUCAAAAACCGACUCACGUGACACAUUUCAUGGUCCUUAUGGCGUUACUUCGGAAACUGCACAACCAACAUACUUAAGAAACUUAGCAGUUCCGUAAUCCAAUUCUCUUUUCCAUAAAACAAAUAAGUAAUGUUGCACUGUCUGGGAAAGGUUGUUACUCAACACUGGAGUAAAUGUACUAACUUGUUAUCUAACAAGUAGAGCUUCUUCUCGAUCUCCAGUUCUCAACUUUACUUUAGUUGGUUUCCAAUCCACAAGAAGAUAAUCAUGGCAAGCGUACCAAAUAUUAAUUCUUACUGCAGUCUUCUUAUCAAGUGCUUCAGCUACCACAAUUCACGAUCACCCUGAUCGUACAAUCAUAAUCACUAAGUAAUACAAUUCACUUUCGCUGCCUCAUAUCAAAAUCCUUCCAAGUAAUGGAUAUUGAAGACUUUUUGGAUUCGUAAAAAUCUUGCAUUCUUACCAAAUAUAAUGCCUUCAUAACUUCACAGCAAGAAUGGUAAUCAUGAUUUCUAAGUCACCCGUAGGGUAAUUCAUCUUAUGAGAUUCCAUUUAUCGUGAAACGUAUGCAAUCACCCUAACAUUUGCAUCAACAUGCAUCCAAUACCAUUCAAGAAACAUCACUAAAAAUUUAUGAUUACCACUAUUCUCUGGGAAUACCAAAAUACGUGCAUGAGUGAGGAAAUACUUCAGUUGUUGAAUCCUUUGCUCACAAUUUCCUUCCCACUCAUACAUAACCUCUUUUCUCAACAGUCUCGUCAAUGACAAAGCAAUGACUGAAAAAUCUUUCACAACCAUCCAAGAUAGCUUGGUAAGCUAAGAAAUUCUGAAUCUCAAUUACAGCUCGUGGUUGUUCCAAUUUCUCAAUUUCUGCUAUCUUUUAAGGAUUCACUUGAAUACCUUAAGAAUAUAUAACAAAUCUCAGAAUGCCACCUGAUUCGUCUAACUUUAGCAUUUGCUACUUAGCAUACAACCAACGUUCUCUCAAUCUUUGGUUCACCGACUUAAUACGUUUACAUGCUCUGCUCUGGCUCAGAAUAUGCCAGAAUAUCUUCAAUAAAAAUGAUAUCAAUCUAUCAAGGCAUUAUUGGAAUACUUCAUCCAUCAACUCAUAAAACAGCAUGAGUAUCCAUAUAGCAUCACCAAACUUCAUAAAGACUAUAACGAGUCCAGAAAACCAUCUUAUGAUCAACGUCACUUAUAAUAUUCAAUUGGUAGUAACCAGAUCUCAAUUCAAUCUUUGAAUCUUCGCAAUUACUUCUGAGCUGGUUAAAUAAACAUCAGUACAUCACCAUGGAUAACGGUUCUCAAUCGUUACCCGACUCCAUUGUCUAUAAUCAAUGAACAGUCUCAAGAUCCAUUUUCUUCCUCACCAACAAACUGGUGCUCCUCAACAGUGUUGUACUAGGUUGAAUAAAACUUUUAUCAACCAAUUCUCUCAACUGAAUUUCCAAUUCCCUUAACUCAUCAUGAACCAAUCUCCAAUAUAAAUUUAUACAUGGCAACAAAUCACUAGUGAACCUCAUAUCUCUGCCUGAAGGCAAUCUAGGUAUACUUUCAAGGAAGACAUCAAGAAAAGUCUAACCCCUUUUUGACAUUAUUCACACUACUCCAAACAACAUCAUUUAGCACCACACGAGCUAAUAUUUUGACAGCCUUUCGAAACAAUCUCUUUGCUCUCACAGCAUAAAUAACGGCCUGACUCAAUCCACUUUGCAUACUUACAAAAGUAAUCUCUGGUCAUCCAGAUCGAUGGAAAGUACUGGUUUCCCUUAACAUUCCGUCUUGUUACAAUUAUAACUAACCAAUCUAAUGGAAAUAAUUUAACCGACACAAUACAUACUCUAUUACUACUAAGCAUUCUGAAUAAGUACAAUACUAACAUAAAAUAAUCUACCGGUUUGCUUGCUUAACGAAUCCACGAAUGAGUUAUUAAUAUUACGGUCUGCAGCCCGCAAUACUGAUAAAUCAUCGUUGUCUCGAUAAGUAGGCAACCACUCUCAAAGAUAUAACAUUACUAUUUUGUCACUCAAUGCAAAAUACAUACACUCGUCUCAACUACAUUUAUUUACCACUCUCUAGGUAAUAUCAUACAUAAUAAGAAAUAUAUCAGCCGAAGUCAACUAGAAUGACCAAUACGGUUGAUUCAACUCUUAUCUCAAUAAUACGUCGGCCGGAUCCACUCCGCGUGGUCGGCACGGCCGAGCCUAUAACUCACCAAUUUCUCAUGUGUCAGUCAAAUCCAUCUCUCGUGGCCUGUAUGGCUGAACAUAUAACUCAUCAAAUAUCUCUGUACCCACAGUCAAUCCGACCAAACUACUAAGUCCAUAACUCUGCUGAAUCGACACUAUGAUAUCAUGGAAAAUUAUUGAGUACAACUGAUUCUAGGGACGAUUCACAAUUCUGUGUCCCCUCUGUUCACAUAAACACAUUCAUUAAUUUCACAUUUCCCAAAGUGUUAAUUUUGUACCUGCUGCACAAAGUACAUUUCCUUUACUCGAGACACCUUGUCUCAAAUAUCUGGGAUUACCAGUAUAUCCAUCACUUUUACUCUGACCAGCGACAUUAAAACCUCAGCUGGAAGAAUUAACUCUAGCUUCACUUCUUUCGAAGCUCUGAAUCUUUCUAUCUCCUUGAUAUGACGAAUCAUUAACUUUAUCGUCUUCUUUUAAUUCCCAUUCUUUUCUUAUUCUUCUUUAUUCUCGUUGCUCAUGUUCUCAGAGUCCUCAAGGCUCAACAACAUCUAGCAUACUCCUGAUAAGAACUACAAUGGAUAGUGGUCACCCAAAAUACCACUUCCCUUUUUGCCACCCAGCUUAAAACAACAUAACACCUCCACCAAAUUAACAACAAUAUCUGGAUGGAACGAGGCAAGUCUGAAAACUUUCUAUAAUAUCCCUCGAUCAUCACCUUCCUUGUCUCAUAUUUGUAAACUCUUGUUUACUACCAUCGAUAAAUGCCGGAGGGAUAAACUUUUCCUUAAACAAGUCCUUAAACAAUUUUAAAUCGGCUGUUCCUCCGAUGACAACAAUUAAUAAUCCUGUUUCCACCAGGAUACAAAUUCAUACCCAAAACCAGGUAAUCGUCUCGACCCCCUGUCAGAAGGAAGAUUCCUUUGACUUGCAUAAUCUGAAACAUCUUUACCAAAUGGUUAAACCGUUACUUCGCUCCCUCAGGUUCAUCAUUUCAUAAGGUGAUUCAAAUUCAACUCAUAACCCGUCUUAAAAUGUCCAUUUUGAUAAUAUACUGAAUCACCAUAAUAAUAGUUUCCCCCUAAACCGCUAAAUCAGGGAGACUAAGUUCCUCUAACUAUGUGGCUUGCUACGAGGCGGUGUAGUUCUGACAGAAUUCACUAGAACUUCUCAAAAUGUCCAAGAUUGCAACCAUGCUCUGAUACCAACUGACACACCCCGUCCCGAAGGAGGGCAUGCUGGCCGUCACGUGAGAGUGACGUAACCAUUUGCACAGUACGGAAGCUUUAAGAUACAAUUUAAAUUGAUACACCCGAAGGUGAGUCCUAAUUUUGUCCAAUCUGUCAGAACACCGUCGAAUUCCUCGUAGUCACCACACCUUUGUGAUUCCUGAACCUGGAGGGGCGCAAAACCAAAAUUGAGUGGGUCAGUAAAACAAUUCUUUUCCAAAUCCAAACAUUUCUCAAAACGUUGUAACCCCUCUCCGUAAAACCUGUAUACUUUCCCAGAAAUGUAAAAUAUAAUUAUACAUAUAUAUUCUCAAUACUUCAAUUCAUUACUCCACAUUUUUCAGUACAAAUAUGCCAUGCCAUAUCGGAAUUCAUCAGUUAAGUAUGAAUGCAUCAACAGUAAUUAUAUCAGGUGCAAGAAGUAAUCAACCGGAGGCCCUCUAAUAGCCCUGUACGGUUGAACCUAGAGCUCAAAAUCUAUCACUCUCACUCUGCCGGAGUCACCUCUGUGACCUGUACGGCCUUCUGCACACAAGUUACGCUCUAGUGCUUCUCUCAUCAAUCAUCUGUGCACAUAAUCUAAGGUCACCUACCAGUCGGAACCCCUCUAACGGUCUGUACGACUGGCAUGUCGGAACCACCCCCGGUGGUCUGUACGACUAGCAUCUACUUGGAUCCAAGGCGAGCGUGCGAUGCGGUGAAUACUAUAAGCACUAAACUAUGGUGCAGGAUUUGAGCUCAAUAUACAUCAUCAUCAUAACAGUAAUUAAAUAUUCAUCUGUGCGUCCACCGCACCAUUUCAUACAUAUGCACCAUAAAUCAAUUCUUACCUGUGCGUCCACCGCACCAAUUCAUACAUAUGCACCAUAAAUCAAUUCUUACAUGUGCGUCCACCGCACCAAUUCAUACAUAUGCAUCAUAAAUCAAUUCUUACCUGUGCGUCCACCGCACCAAUUCAUACAUAUGCAUCAUAAAUCAAUUCUUACAUGUGCGUCCACCGCACCAAUUCAUACAUAUGCAUCAUAAAUCAAUUCUUACCUGUGCGUCCACCGCACCAAUUCAUA
RNAcentral lists this long non-coding RNA (9505 nucleotides) under Malus domestica (apple). RNAcentral describes it as "long non-coding RNA (MDOM_LNC001345)". Lineage: Eukaryota; Viridiplantae; Streptophyta; Magnoliopsida; Rosales; Rosaceae. The record is from RNAcentral.